RNAcentral lists this ribosomal RNA (1006 nucleotides) under uncultured bacterium BURTON-54. RNAcentral's name for it is "bacterial SSU rRNA". It matches the Rfam family "Bacterial small subunit ribosomal RNA", at positions 509 to 1504 of the family's 1533-position model. Lineage: Bacteria; Pseudomonadati; Verrucomicrobiota. The record is from RNAcentral.
CAGCAGCCGCGGUAAUACGUAGGGUGCGAGCGUUGUCCGGAUUUACUGGGCGUAAAGGGUGUGUAGGUGGUCAUGUAUGUCGGAUGUGAAAUUCUGGGGCCUAACCCCAGCACUGCAUUCGAAACUGCAUGACUAGAGUACAGGAGAGGUAAGCGGAAUUCUUGGUGUAGCGGUGAAAUGCGUUGAUAUCAAGAAGAACACCGGAUGCGAAGGCGGCUUACUGGAAUGUUACUGACACUCAUACACGAAAGCUAGGGGAGCAAACAGGUUUAGAUACCCUGGUAGUCCAUGCCGUAAACGUUGGGCGCUAGGUGUGGGGAGAUUUCCGACUUCUGUGCCGUAGCUAACGCGUUAAGUGUACCGCCUGUGGAGUACGGCCGCAAGGUUAAACUCAAAGAAAUUGACGGGGGCCCGCACAAGCGGAGGAGUAUGUGGCUUAAUUCGAUGCAACGCGAAGAACCUUACCAGGGCUGGACAUGUAACUGCAAGUCCCGUGAAAGUGGGAUUCCUUCCGAAGCACUGUUACACAGUGCUGCAUGGCUGUCGUCAGUUCGUGCCGUGAGGUGUUGGGUUAAGUCCCGCAACGAACGCAACCCUUGUGUUUAGUUGCCACUACCGGUGAUGAGCCGGUAAGCACUCUAGACAGACUGCCCAUAUCAAGUGGGAGGAAGGUGGGGAUGACGUCAAGUCAGUAUGGCCUUUAUGUCCUGGGCUGCACACGUGCUACAAUGGUCGGUACAGAGGGUCGCAAUGCCGCAAGGUGGAGCUAAUCCCAAAAAACCGAUCCCAGUUCGGAUUGGAGUCUGCAAUUCGACUCCAUGAAGUUGGAUUCGCUAGUAAUGGCGUAUCAGCUACGGCGCCGUGAAUACGUUCCCGGGCCUUGUACACACCGCCCGUCACAUCAUGAAAGCUGUCUGCACCCGAAGUUGCUGAUCUAACCCGCAAGGGGAGAAAGAGCCGACGGUGUGACGGGUGAUUGUGAUGAAGUCGUAACAAGGUAGCCGUA